This 904-nucleotide long non-coding RNA is filed under the name Vitis vinifera (wine grape). Its description in RNAcentral is "long non-coding RNA (VVIN_LNC003924)". Lineage: Eukaryota; Viridiplantae; Streptophyta; Magnoliopsida; Vitales; Vitaceae. The record is from RNAcentral.
AUCUUUUGGGCAUUACCACACAAAAGAUGUAGGACCACAUAUGCAUUUUCCUUAUCAAACAAUUGUCUUGACAAGCCACUUUAAAGCCCACUUGGGCUUGCCAUCACCAUUGAUGGACCUACAUCAUUCAAAUUCUCGAUGCUCUUAAAGGUGGUAUCCACUUGAAGGUAAAAGGAUUCCAAUUUUUGUUAGAUUGUUUGUCUUUUCUAUCUGGAAACUAUUUUUCUUUUCUUUCUUUUUUAUAUCACGUUUACUCUCCUAGAAUGUAAAAUUCUCUGUUCUCUGUUCAGAUAUCAGCUUUCCAACUGGAAUUAAUACAUCUAGUAUUCAAUUCAAUCCUCAUCCUUUUCUGGCCUCCUAAAUUCUGAACUUUGUCUAGGUUUUCCAGUUUUAAGAAAAAUUACAUCAUGAGGACCCAACAUGAUGGGAUUAGAUUCAAUGUUAAAGACAAAAUUUUCAAAUAAUCUGCAAAACCCCUCAACAUUUGUGGCUAUAGUUCAAGACCAAUGUGGGAAUUUACAAUCUAAUAAUGCUGAUGAAUGCUUCAUUGACAGCUCUACCAGACUAGACUUCGACGGAAUGCAUGAUGACAAAUUUACAUGGAGAAGUGAGGACCCUUGGCUAGUUUCACCCCCAUGACCAUGGCCCAGCAGCCCAGCAGCUCAUCCAAUGUAAUCAUGGAAAACGCUUUUCACAAUGGUGGCCAUUGUGUUGAGAGUGCUCUGUCAAUUUGUUGCAUAGUUGGCCGAGAUUGGGGAUUAACAUGCAAGCAUGCAAAUGCUAAUUUGACUGCAAGUGCUACUUCCUUAGCCACUUAAUUCACAGGAGGUGGGAGCCGCUGGUCCAUCGCAUCAUUCAACAGGCAAUGGUCCACAGUUGAUGGUGAUGAGGAUGAUGAGGACGC